UACUUUUUUAAAAAAAAAAUUAUCAAGAUCUAAAGAAGUAUUCUUACUUGGAAUGAUUGCUUUGCUUGUGUUUGCAUGUUGAAAAACAAUAAAAUGUUAAUGAUCGAAUAACUUAAUGUUUAUACUAAAAAUAUUUGUAAAUAUCGAAUAACUUACUUCCAUAGAAGCGAAACGCUUCAGUAACUUGCUUUGUUGUUGAUUCAAUGCUUUCAUUUCUUUGUUAACGGCCUCUAAUUUCUUCGUAACAACCUCUUUGACACAAAAAUCAAAUUCUUUUUUUCUUCUUCCUUUCGAUUUCUUUUUUGGUUUGUCGAUCUCGUAUAAUCUUCGAUUUAUUAAUCAUUUGUGAAAGCAUUGAAUCAUCACCCGAUCUCAUUCCGAGAAUACGUCCCUUUGUCUUUCCUCCUGUAGCCUUCAUCCAAGCUUCAAAACUGUCUUCUGUAAAUAUCGGCUUUUUACGCAUGUAGGAGCCUUGAGUCGAAAUGUCUUCGUCGUCGUCUUCAUCUACAAUUUGACAUUUAUCAAAUUGUUCUUUU
This 536-nucleotide long non-coding RNA is filed under the name Zostera marina. Its description in RNAcentral is "long non-coding RNA (ZMAR_LNC002368)". The record is from RNAcentral. Lineage: Eukaryota; Viridiplantae; Streptophyta; Magnoliopsida; Alismatales; Zosteraceae.